CCUACGGGUGGCAGCAGUGAGGAAUAUUGGUCAAUGGCCGGAAGGCUGAACCAGCCAUGCCGCGUGAAGGUCAGUGCCCUAUGGGCGUUAAACUUCUUUUGUGCGGGAGCAAUAAUGGUCACGUGUGGCCAGACGAGAGUACCGUACGAAUAAGCAUCCGCUAACUCCGUGCCAGCAGCCGCGGUAAUAAGGGGGAUGCCAGCGUUAUCCCGAUUUAUUGGGUUUAAAGGGUGCGUAGGCUGGGAGGUAAGUCAGCGGUGAAAUGCCCCCGCUCAAAGGGGUGAAGUGCCAUUGAUACUGCCUGGCUGGAAUGCGGAUGCCGUGUGAGGAAUGUGUGGUGUAGCGGUGAAAUGCAUAGAUAUCACACAGAACACCGAUUGCGAAGGCAUCUCACGAAUCCGCGAUUGACGCUGAUGCACGAAAGCGUGGGUAUCAAACAGGAUUAGAUACCCCUGUAGUC
Molecule: ribosomal RNA, 460 nt
Filed under: uncultured bacterium
Lineage: Bacteria
Description: partial 16S ribosomal RNA
Rfam family: Bacterial small subunit ribosomal RNA
Source: RNAcentral